AUUGACCGCUGGCGGCAGGCUUAACACAUGCAAGUCGAGCGAGCGGCGGACGGGUGAGUAAUGUCUGGGAAACUGCCUGAUGGAGGGGGAUAACUACGGGAAACGGUAGAUAAUACCGCAUAACAUCAGAUGUGCCCAGCUGGUUGUAGCUAGUAGGUGGGGUAAUGGCUCACCUAGGAGAGUAUCCCUAGCUGGUCUGAGAGGAAGACCAGCCACACUGGAACUGAGACACGGUCCAGACUCCUACGGCAGGCAGCAGUGGGGAAGAUUGCACAAUGGGCGCAAGCCUGAGGCAGCCAUGCCGCGUGUGUGAAGAAGGCCUUCGGGUUGUAAAGCACUUUCAGCGAGGAGGCGUUACUCGCAGAAGAAGCACCGGCUAACUCCGUGCCAGCAGCCGCGGUAAUUC
RNAcentral lists this ribosomal RNA (406 nucleotides) under uncultured bacterium. RNAcentral describes it as "partial 16S ribosomal RNA". It matches the Rfam family "Bacterial small subunit ribosomal RNA", at positions 30 to 526 of the family's 1533-position model. The record is from RNAcentral.